AUGAGAACAGAGCCAACACAUUGGGCUAGGGCAUUUUUUUCCAUAGGAACUAACUGUGAAUCAGUAGAUAAUAAUCUUUGUGAGUCAUUCAACAAUGCCAUUAUAGAAUCAAGGUUCUAUCCAAUUAUUUCACAGCAAGAGAUGAUAAGAAAGAAGAUGCUUGUUAGGGUGCAGGAGCAGAGAGCCAAAGGGGCAAAUUGGAAGGGCAAAAUUUGCCCAAAUAUUUUCAGGAAACUCAAGGUAAGUAUUAGAUUGACAUAG
This 261-nucleotide ribosomal RNA is filed under the name Triticum aestivum (bread wheat). RNAcentral describes it as "partial small subunit ribosomal RNA". The record is from RNAcentral. Lineage: Eukaryota; Viridiplantae; Streptophyta; Magnoliopsida; Poales; Poaceae.